GGAGUGCGGCGUGCUAAUACAUGCAAGUCGAGCGAAUGGAUUAAGAGCUUGCUCUUAUGAAGUUAGCGGCGGACGGGUGAGUAACACGUGGGUAACCUGCCCAUAAGACUGGGAUAACUCCGGGAAACCGGGGCUAAUACCGGAUAACAUUUUGAACCGCAUGGUUCGAAAUUGAAAGGCGGCUUCGGCUGUCACUUAUGGAUGGACCCGCGUCGCAUUAGCUAGUUGGUGAGGUAACGGCUCACCAAGGCAACGAUGCGUAGCCGACCUGAGAGGGUGAUCGGCCACACUGGGACUGAGACACGGCCCAGACUCCUACGGGAGGCAGCAGUAGGGAAUCUUCCGCAAUGGACGAAAGUCUGACGGAGCAACGCCGCGUGAGUGAUGAAGGCUUUCGGGUCGUAAAACUCUGUUGUUAGGGAAGAACAAGUGCUAGUUGAAUAAGCUGGCACCUUGACGGUACCUAACCAGAAAGCCACGGCUAACUACGUGCCAGCAGCCGCGGUAAUACGUAGGUGGCAAGCGUUAUCCGGAAUUAUUGGGCGUAAAGCGCGCGCAGGUGGUUUCUUAAGUCUGAUGUGAAAGCCCACGGCUCAACCGUGGAGGGUCAUUGGAAACUGGGAGACUUGAGUGCAGAAGAGGAAAGUGGAAUUCCAUGUGUAGCGGUGAAAUGCGUAGAGAUAUGGAGGAACACCAGUGGCGAAGGCGACUUUCUGGUCUGUAACUGACACUGAGGCGCGAAAGCGUGGGGAGCAAACAGGAUUAGAACC
RNAcentral lists this ribosomal RNA (770 nucleotides) under Bacillus anthracis (anthrax bacterium). RNAcentral's name for it is "bacterial SSU rRNA". It matches the Rfam family "Bacterial small subunit ribosomal RNA", at positions 34 to 785 of the family's 1533-position model. Lineage: Bacteria; Bacillati; Bacillota; Bacilli; Caryophanales; Bacillaceae. The record is from RNAcentral.